RNAcentral lists this ribosomal RNA (273 nucleotides) under Demodex canis (dog follicle mite). RNAcentral describes it as "partial 16S ribosomal RNA". The record is from RNAcentral. Lineage: Eukaryota; Metazoa; Arthropoda; Arachnida; Trombidiformes; Demodicidae.
AUGAGUGGAGUUUAUGGAGGUUUUUUUUAUAAACGGUUUUUUUGGCUGAAUUUGAUUUAUCUACGAAAAGUUAGAUUUUGUUUUCAAAGACGAGAAGACCCCGAAAUCUUUAUUUUAAAAUAAUGGGUUUUAAUUUUUGUUUGGGGGAAAAGUUAAUUUGUAUUAUUUUCUUUUUUAGUGUGAACUUUGUUAGGUUAAAUGGAUAGAUACUUCGGGGUUAACAGGAUAAUUUUCUUUUGAAGUUCUUAUUUUAGAGGGAGAUUGUUACCUCGU